Molecule: long non-coding RNA, 232 nt
Filed under: Elaeis guineensis (African oil palm)
Lineage: Eukaryota; Viridiplantae; Streptophyta; Magnoliopsida; Arecales; Arecaceae
Description: long non-coding RNA (EGUI_LNC055447)
Source: RNAcentral
CUCGAACUGAUCUCUGCUCGUAGAAGACUCUUCUUCUCAAGAAGAAUCUUGAUCUUGAACACUUUGAUCAAUACCUUGAUCUGAACUACGGGAUCAACUCUUUGAUCAGCAGCCUUCUUCUUUUUCUCCUCAAUCUUCACUCUUGAAGAUAAAAAGCACUACCUCUUGACGUGUGGAAAAGGGGACACCCAACUCUUGGGCAUGAAAGAGAAGAGAGGGAGGAGAGGAGGCA